This 45-nucleotide non-coding RNA is filed under the name Schistosoma margrebowiei. The record is from RNAcentral. Lineage: Eukaryota; Metazoa; Platyhelminthes; Trematoda; Strigeidida; Schistosomatidae.
AUCCAGCUGACGAAUCUUAAACAGGACGAAACGCGCGUCCUGGAU